Long non-coding RNA from Miniopterus natalensis, 253 nucleotides. RefSeq lists it as uncharacterized. NCBI's taxonomy places the organism in Eukaryota, Metazoa, Chordata, Mammalia, Chiroptera, Miniopteridae. The record is from RefSeq and is a predicted model, not a curated record.
GGGAUAGCUGGAGAGAGGGAGAGACAAGAAGAGAGAAACAUUGACAUGAGAGACAGACAUCAAUCCAUUGCAUUCCACAUACACCUUGACCAAGGCUGAGGAUCGCAGCUGCCACCCAGGUCUCUGAGAGUGUGGGCUCCGGUGUCCAGUGUUCAUCUGUCCUGCCUCCAGGCCAUGUUUCCACUGGAGGCACAUGUUUCAGCCUGCUGGCUUGCCUUAUGGACUUCAGACUUGUCAGCCCUCAUCAUGACAA